GACAGAGCAAAAAAAACAAGGCAUCAGUAUUGUUGAGUAUUAGCUUGUACCUGGUUCGGAGACUAAGUAAGUAUUUACCUUCCAGUUUGGGGCUGGGGGCUGGGGGCUGCGCGAUCUGAAAACUGGAUCUCUCUUCCCUUCCCUCACAAAUAUUGGAGGGCCCAAGUUCCAAGGCCUAGUGGAAGGGGAGGGACUCGUAUCCCCUUUUCCAUCCUCGGAACUUGCAGAAGUUGCCCGUGGCCGGCAUCGUGCCGUGCCGUCUGCCUCCUUUCCAGCCCAGCCUGCUGUUUUUGACUCUCUUAUCCGAGCACCCUUUGGCUCUGCGCCCUGGAGCUGUGACAGUGAGGUUCUGGGGGCUCCCCUGAGUUGGCCCGGCGUCUUUUGUCAUACGUUAGGCUGGGGCCCAGCCGGGCCUUUCUUAUGAAGAGAGAGAGAGCACAAGAAAGCACCCCCCCCCAACCCCGCCCCGCGAUGCCUGGGUAUCUCGGGUGUUUCUCCUUGCGAAGGCCCAGGCUCAGGCUGAGGGUUUGUCCUCUGGCUGGGUCCGAGAUCACUGGAGUUUCAGGCCAGAACUCGAUGGCCUUGGGGGCUCCGGGAAGAUGUGGGGAGGGGGAGAUCCAGGGCGCACGAAUCUUCCCGAAACCAACUAAGAAGUGACGUUCACCAUGUCUCUGCCUUCCUCGACCGCACUUUCUAGAUCCUGGGUCAGCCAGUCGGCGGCUGCGGUGAGUAGGUGGUGAGGCCAAGGAGGGAUGCUGGAGUUGGUGUGGGCGCUGUUUGCUAGGGCCAGGCUUCUGAGUUGUGUGUGCAAGUUUGAUCCUUCAUAGGAGGCAGGAAGAGCCCUUUCUCGAGGCUCUGAGGGUGUGGGGGAUGUCCCAGGGCUGUGUAGGGGGGAGUAUGAAUCUGGUGGGGAAAGGAGAGGGCCAUCUCAAGGGGCCAACCCGGCAACUCUGACCCGGGUGCUCUAAGUUAGGGAGGUGGGUGGGCAAGGUGGGGUUUUUUCCUUCCUGCUCUAGGAAAGAGGGCUGAUGGGGUUUGUAGGUCAUGGGCCCAAGGGCUGGGAGGCAGAGGAGUGUGUGUGUGUGUGUUCGCCAAGACUUGGUGGUGUGUGUAUUUGGGUGCAUCUGCUGGUUUGUUAGUAUAUACCUGCUGUUGGAGAAUCAUGUUGUUGCCUCUGUUUACAGUUACUCAGGUAUUAAUCAUAUGUAUACAUUUUGGCAUGUGUAUUUUUUGUGUGUUUAUAUCUGUGGAUAAUUCUGCUAAUGUUUGUGCACAUUAGUCCAUGUGCUCCCAUUUUUAUUGAUCAGUGUGUAUUUGUGUUUACGUACUUGCAGCCACACGAUUGUGAUAGGGUUUACUUGCGGGAGUGUGCAGGUAAGAAUAUUUGUAUAGGUGUGUGCUCACACUGAUGUGAAAGUGGACUUUAAAAAAAUCUGAAUUGUGUGUUUGCGUGCAAGUGAGUGUAUGUGUAUGUAACUGAGCUGGGCUGGGUGUGUUUGUGAGUGUGGAAUUUUGUGGAACCAUGUUUGUAGGGCAGUUUUGCUGUGUGUGUGUGUAUGUCUGCAAGUGUAUUUCUAUGAAUUGCAGUAUUUUUUGUUUAUGUGACUCCUAUAGUUUUCUUGGGGGCGGGAGGAGGGGUAUGAUUGUGUGUGUACUUCUGGCAGUGCUUGCCUUUGUGGACUUGAAGGGAGGCAGGAUUUGUGGAUGCCGUUAUUGGGGCAGUUGGUGGAACCACUGAGAUGCUUGUUUCUCUUCCCCCCUCCCCCCAGUUCUUGUCCUCAUAGUCCUCGGUCUCUACAGGAAGUGAUUGUGCUGUGGACAGAGAGUUGACAGGUGCUGGUCACUGGGUGGUGCAUUGACCCACAAGCUGGGCUUCUGAAAAGGAGUCCCCAAACUGGGCAGCUUCCACUAUUACUUCUUCCUCCAGCUUGCCGAGCAAGGGACCUAUGUCUACACUGCUUAGAGAUGUGGCUGGUUGGAGCCAGGUUCAGCCAGGAGCAAGCAGGCUGGAUCUCCUGGCCAGGAGAGCUCCAGGAGCCCCAAGUGAAAUCGUAGCUUCUGGCAGCACCUGGUUUCGGAGCAUGAAGGGUCCUUGCGCUCCAGCAGGACAGGGACAGAACAAAACAAGGACUCACCUUUUUUCCUCCUCCUUGCUGAGAGGAACGAGACAUCCAGGCUCCAGGUGGAGGUGAAUUGCACUGACUACUUGGUCUUUGUCUCACUGGGGUUUUUCUCUCUCUCCUGAGCUCCCUCCAUACAGUUUCCUUUCUGUCUGUUUCUUCCGUUUAGCCUCUGUUCUCUUUCUGUUUCCCUUUCCUUCUGUUUCCCCAUCACUUUCUUUCUUGAUUUCUCUCUCUGUUUUUAUUUCCCUGCCUCUGCCUCUCUGCUGGGCAUCCAAAUCCAGCAUCUGGCUUAAAGCUGUGAAGAAGGCUUCUCCUAGUGCACCCUGCAGAUUUUCGGGUGCAUGUGGAACUCCCAUACAGUCAUUAAAACCCCCCAUCUAGAUGAAUGUCUUCUUCCCUGCUCUGGAAUAGGUGCACUGGGCUUGCCCUCCCCUCCCCACAAUAGGUACCUCAAGAGCCAGUUCUGCUGUGUCUUUCCAGCCUCAGUUCUGCCCACUGUGUUGGCUGUUGGAUGCCUGUGUUCCAGGCUCCAUCUAGGACAUAUCCACCACCCUCACCUCCUGGAUGUGCUUAAAUGGCAACACGCAGCCUGGCCCCAGUGGCUGCCAUGCCAGGCCAGGGAGGUGGAGGAACAUGGGCAGAGUCUCAGAACGCAGCCCUAGGUCCCCCCAGAGCCUGGAUGUGGUGAGUCACCCGAAGCUGGCUGCCCAGUGGCAGGAGAUGAAGGCUCCACUUCCAGAAGCCCUGGCCUGGCCUUCUGCCUCUUGUAGCUGAGUUUACCCAUCCUGUCCAGGUCACAGCCCCUUGGAAUCACCCUGGGAGCCUCAGCACAGCCCACCCUCAAUCCAGAACCCCCUCACUCCAGCUCAGCCUCAGGGAUCAUGCUUGGCCUUCACCAGCCCUCCACCUUCCAGGGCACACAGUCUCCGAAGGG
This 3057-nucleotide long non-coding RNA is filed under the name Sus scrofa (pig). RNAcentral describes it as "lncRNA (ENSSSCG00000056974.1)". The record is from RNAcentral. Lineage: Eukaryota; Metazoa; Chordata; Mammalia; Artiodactyla; Suidae.